This 387-nucleotide ribosomal RNA is filed under the name uncultured bacterium. RNAcentral's name for it is "bacterial SSU rRNA". It matches the Rfam family "Archaeal small subunit ribosomal RNA", at positions 339 to 727 of the family's 1478-position model. The record is from RNAcentral.
GCGCGAAAACUUUACAAUGCACGAAAGUGUGAUAAGGGAAUCCUAAGUGCUCAGGCAUUGCCUGGGCUUUUGCCAUAUGUAAAUAGUAUGGCGAAUAAGUAGUGGGUAAGACCGGUGCCAGCCGCCGCGGUAACACCGGCGCUACAAGUGGCAAUCGCGUUUAUUGGGCCUAAAGCGUCCGUAGCAGGUUUUGUAAAUUUCUUGUGAAACUGCCAAGCUUAACUUGGCAAUGUGCAGGGAACACUGCAAGACUUGAGACCGGGAAGGGUCGGAGGUAUUCCUGAGGGAGCGGUAAAAUGCUAUAAUCUUAGGAGGACCACCGGUGGCGAAGGCGUCCGACUAGAACGGAUCUGACUGUGAGGGACGAAAGCCAGGGGAGCAAACCGG